AGCGAACGUUAGCGGCGGGCCUAACACAUGCAAGUCGAGCGAGAAAGGGGCUUCGGCCCCGAGUACAGCGGCGAACGGGUGAGUAACACGUAGGUAAUCUUCCCUCGAGCGGGGGACAACGAGCCGAAAGGCUCGCUAAUACCGCAUACGUUCCCAGGGACCCCGGUCCUUGGGAGGAAAGCUAGGCCGCAAGGUCCGGCACUCGAGGAGGAGCCUGCGUCGCAUCAGCUAGUUGGUGGGGUAACGGCCUACCAAGGCGAAGACGCGUAGCUGGUCU
This 277-nucleotide ribosomal RNA is filed under the name uncultured bacterium. RNAcentral describes it as "partial 16S ribosomal RNA". It matches the Rfam family "Bacterial small subunit ribosomal RNA", at positions 29 to 293 of the family's 1533-position model. The record is from RNAcentral.